CUACGGGGUGCUGCAGUGAGGAAUUUUGCGCAAUGGGGGAAACCCUGACGCAGCAACGCCGCGUGAGUGAAGAAGGCUUUCGGGUCGUAAAGCUCUGUCAGAUAGGAAAAAAGUUCAUAUGUAAAUAGCUUAUGAAUCUGAUGGUACUAUCAGAGGAAGCACCGGCUAACUCCGUGCCAGCAGCCGCGGUAAUACGGAGGGUGCAAGCGUUGUUCGGAAUUACUGGGCGUAAAGGGCGUGUAGGCGGUAUGGUAAGUCAGAUGUGAAAGCCCUGGGCUUAACUCAGGAAGUGCAUUUGAUACUGCCAUCCUUGAGUAUGGGAGAGGAGAGUAGAAUUCCCAGUGUAGAGGUGAAAUUCGUAGACAUUGGGAGGAAUACCCGUGGCGAAGGCGACUCUCUGGACCAAUACUGACGCUGAGACGCGAAAGCGUGGGGAGCAAACAGGAUUAGAUACCCUGGUAGUC
RNAcentral lists this ribosomal RNA (464 nucleotides) under uncultured bacterium. RNAcentral's name for it is "partial 16S ribosomal RNA". It matches the Rfam family "Bacterial small subunit ribosomal RNA", at positions 339 to 795 of the family's 1533-position model. The record is from RNAcentral.